This is a long non-coding RNA of Rhinichthys klamathensis goyatoka, 333 nucleotides long. RefSeq lists it as uncharacterized. The record is from RefSeq and is a predicted model, not a curated record. NCBI's taxonomy places the organism in Eukaryota, Metazoa, Chordata, Actinopteri, Cypriniformes, Leuciscidae. The transcript has 3 exons.
UCCUCCAGUCUCAGUGUCUCUGAUAGUGUUGAUCUCUUCUUCUGCUGCUGGAUCUCUGAUGAUCGUGACUGUUAUCAUGAUCUUCUGUAUGUGCAGGAAACACAAAGACACAGUUGAAGACGAGACUCUCGCUGAUCCAACACUCUACACACACACUGGACAAAUGAUGAAAUCUGAAAUGACGGAGGUGGUUUAUACAUGUUUCAUCACAGAUCAAUGAUCAAACUCUCUGUGAUUCUGUUUCUUUACAAAUUAUGUGAUGAUCAUCGUAUUGACAUUUGUGUUUUAUACUGUAUUACUCUUUCAAAUAAAAUAAAAUGUACAUUGGUUGAA